Molecule: ribosomal RNA, 1254 nt
Filed under: metagenome
Description: bacterial LSU rRNA
Rfam family: Bacterial large subunit ribosomal RNA
Source: RNAcentral
CAGAGGAUACUAAGGCGCGCGAGAUAACUCUCGUUAAGGAACUAGGCAAGUUGACCCCGUAACUUCGGGAGAAGGGGUGCCCCGGCGGGACGCGGCUUUGACGCCGCGGGUUCGUUGGGGUCGCAGUGACAAGGCUCGAGCGACUGUUUAACAAAAACACAGGUCUCUGCUAAGGGGAAACCCUAUGUAUAGGGGCUGACGCCUGCCCAAUGCUAGACGGUUAACAGGAGGGGUCAUCCGCAAGGAGAAGCCCUGGAUCGAAGCCCUAGUGAAUGGCGGCCGUAACUAUAACGGUCCUAAGGUAGCGAAAUUCCUUGUCGGGUAAGUUCCGACCUGCACGAAUGGCGUAACGACUUGAGCGCUGUCUCAACGAGAGACUCGGUGAAAUUGUAGCACCGGUGAAGAUGCCGGUUACCCGCAUUAGGACGGAAAGACCCCAUGGAGCUUUACUACACCUUGGUAUUGAGUUUUGGAAUAGCAUGUAGAGAAUAGGUGGGAGGGCGCAUGCCCACCAGUGGAAUACCACCCUUGUUAUUUCGGAAUUCUAACCUCAACCGUUAUCCGGUUGAAGGACAGUAUCUGGCGGGUAGUUUGACUGGGGCGGUCGCCUCCCAAAAUGUAACGGAGGCGUCCAAAGGAUCCCUCAGGCUGAUUGGAAACCAGCCGUAGAGUAUAAGGGCAUAAGGGAUCUUAACUGUGAGACUGACAGGUCGAUCAGAUGCGAAAGCAGGGCCUAGUGAUCCUACAGCUAAGUGUGGAAUUGCUGUGGUUCGUCGGAUAAAAGCUACCCUGGGGAUAACAGGCUUAUCUUGCCCAAGCGCUCACAGCGACGGCAAGGUUUGGCACCUCGAUGUCGGCUCGUCGUAUCCUGGGGCUGGAUUAGGUCCCAAGGGUUAGGCUGUUCGCCUAUUAAAACGGCACGCGAGCUGGGUUCAGAACGUCGUGAGACAGUUCGGUCCCUAUCCAAUGCGGGCGCAGGAAGUUUGAGAGGAGCUGUCCCUAGUACGAGAGGACCGGGAUGGACGAACCUCUGGUGUACCAGUUGUCGCGCCAACGGCAGAUGCUGGGUAGCCACGUUCGGUCGUGAUAAGAGCUGGAAGCAUCUAAGCUCGAAGCACACCUCAAGAUGAGACUUCCCAAAUGGGGGCAACCCCGGAGUAAGGUCCCAGGUAGACGACCUGGUUGAUAGGCCACAGGUGUAAGGGCAGUAAUGCCUUCAGCUUAGUGGUACUAAUAGACCGAGGGCUUGACCAU